RNAcentral lists this ribosomal RNA (659 nucleotides) under uncultured fungus. RNAcentral describes it as "eukaryotic LSU rRNA". It matches the Rfam family "Eukaryotic large subunit ribosomal RNA", at positions 24 to 664 of the family's 3401-position model. Lineage: Eukaryota; Fungi. The record is from RNAcentral.
CCCGCUGAACUUAAGCAUAUCAAUAAGCGGAGGAAAAGAAACUAACAAGGAUUCCCCUAGUAACUGCGAGUGAAGCGGGAAAAGCUCAAAUUUAAAAUCUGGCAGUCUUUGGCUGUCCGAGUUGUAAUCUAGAGAAGUAUUAUCCGCGCUGGACCGUGUACAAGUCUCCUGGAAUGGGGCGUCAUAGAGGGUGAGAAUCCCGUCUUUGACACGGACUGCCAGGGCUUUGUGAUAUGCUCUCAAAGAGUCGAGUUGUUUGGGAAUGCAGCUCAAAAUGGGUGGUAAAUUCCAUCUAAAGCUAAAUAUUGGCGAGAGACCGAUAGCGAACAAGUACCGUGAGGGAAAGAUGAAAAGAACUUUGGAAAGAGAGUUAAACAGUACGUGAAAUUGCUGAAAGGGAAAUGCUUGAAGUCAGUCGCGUUGGCCAGGGAUCAACCUUGCUUUUUUGCUUGGCUUACUUUCUGGUUGAUGGGUCAGCAUCAAUUUUGACUGGUGGAAAAAGUUCAAGGGAAUGUGGCAUCUUCGGAUGUGUUAUAGCCUUUGUUCACAUACAUUGGUUGGGAUUGAGGAACUCAGCACGCCGCAAGGCCGGGUUUUUAACCACGUACGUGCUUAGGAUGCUGGCAUAAUGGCUUUAAUCGACCCGUCUUGAAACACGG